GAUGAACGCUGGCGGCGUGCCUAAUACAUGCCAGUCGAGCGAACGGACGAGAAGCUUGCUUCUCUGAUGUUAGCGGCGGACGGGUGAGUAACACGUGGAUAACCUACCUAUAAGACUGGGAUAACUUCGGGAAACCGGAGCUAAUACCGGAUAAUAUUUUGAACCGCAUGGCUCAAAAGUGAAAGACGGUCUUGCUGUCACUUAUAGAUGGAUCCGCGCUGCAUUAGCUAGUUGGUAAGGUAACGGCUUACCAAGGCAACGAUGCAUAGCCGACCUGAGAGGGUGAUCGGCCACACUGGAACUGAGACACGGUCCAGACUCCUACGGGAGGCAGCAGUAGGGAAUCUUCCGCAAUGGGCGAAAGCCUGACGGAGCAACGCCGCGUGAGUGAUGAAGGUCUUCGGAUCGUAAAACUCUGUUAUUAGGGAAGAACAUAUGUGUAAGUAACUGUGCACAUCUUGACGGUACCUAAUCAGAAAGCCACGGCUAACUACGUG
RNAcentral lists this ribosomal RNA (497 nucleotides) under uncultured bacterium. Its description in RNAcentral is "partial 16S ribosomal RNA". It matches the Rfam family "Bacterial small subunit ribosomal RNA", at positions 28 to 507 of the family's 1533-position model. The record is from RNAcentral.